GACAGGGUUUCUCUGUAUUGUUUUGGUUCCUGUCCUAGAACUCAGUCUGUAGACCAGGCUGGCCUCAAAUUCACAGAGAUCUGCCUGCCUCUGCCUCCUGAGUGCUGGGACUAAAGGCAGGCACUUUGGCAACUGCACCACCUCCUCAACUCCUACUGUCAUCAUAGUACCUUCAUCCAGUAACUGAUGGAAGCAAAUGCAAAGAUCCUCAUCCAAGCACCAGGCUAAGCUACAGCUGUCCAGUCGAAGAGAAAGAAGGAUUAUAUGAGCAAAGAGGGUCAAGAUCAUGAUGGGGAAACUCACAGAGACAGUGGACCUGAACUUGCUGGAGCUCACGGACUCAUUGAACUAUAUACUGAAUGCAGAGACUGAUUUGUGGAAAGUUGGUGUCAUGAUAUUAUUGAAUCAUGUGAAUAACGUGAGCAUCAUGUGGCUGGGCCCAAUCCCAGGAUGCAUUAUUUAGAUUCUAUCCCUGAUGACAUCCAAUAAACCAAUCUUAAGGAAAGGAAUGACUUGUAAUGAUGUGUACUUACAUGCUAAGAAGAAAUCAAGGAUAACUUAGCUAGAAGGGAAUGCUGCGAUGUAACUGCGAUGUAAUUACUGUUGAUGAAUCCCAGUAACAUGGAAACUGCCUUUCUAGGUAUCUCAUUGU
This 652-nucleotide long non-coding RNA is filed under the name Cricetulus griseus (Chinese hamster). RNAcentral's name for it is "lncRNA (ENSCGRG00015040457.1)". The record is from RNAcentral. Lineage: Eukaryota; Metazoa; Chordata; Mammalia; Rodentia; Cricetidae.